Molecule: long non-coding RNA, 3942 nt
Organism: Musa acuminata AAA Group (dessert banana)
Lineage: Eukaryota; Viridiplantae; Streptophyta; Magnoliopsida; Zingiberales; Musaceae
Exons: 10
Source: RefSeq, a predicted model, not a curated record
CUUGGAAUCUCACCUCGUUCGUCGAUUCCUUCGUUGUCCAUCAUCUCUGUUAUGAGGAUUUAAUUUUCGUUGUUUUAAUGAGGGUUUGUUGCUUAAUGUAUUGGAUCUCUUUCGGACGAUCAUCUCAUUUCAACAUCGCCCUAGUUGUUGUUUUAUGUUAGUGCUAUCGUUUAAUGGGUUGUUUUUGCUGUAUGAUCUUGAAUGGAUGAGCCGGGUUACUAUUGUCCAGUUGUUGAGGGUAUAGUUUAUUCUCGUUCUCUUUUUCUUUGUUUGCUUCGUGAAUUCUAGUUUUGACGAUGAUAUUUAAGGUACAAAAUGCGCCUGCUAUGAAUUUAUGAUCAAGUUGUUUGUUCGUGAAAUUCGAUUUAAGUUCUGCGUGAUUUUAUACGAAAUUUCUUUUCGCUGUCUACAUGUUCUCCAUUGGUUGGAUUCACAAGAAAACCUAAUUCGACAGGGAUAGUCAAGUUGUUGUUUCGUAUGCGUGGUUUUGGUUGAUUUCUAAUGCCCUCGGUGACGUUCAUGCUUUGCCUAAUUGUUCUUGUUAGUUGCCAUUUGUUACAGUUUUUGAAGCCGUAGAAUAUGUUGACAACGACUCAAUAUAAUACUCAACUUUAUGGCUCAUUUUGAAGAUUUGGCAGUCUUUGUGCUCGAUCAUAGAUCAUGCAUACGACUGGCGGUGCGUGUCCAAGAGCAGCUGUAGUAUCAUGUGAAGGAAUUCAGCAAUGUCAUCAUUAUAUGUAGUUUCUUUGGGGAACUUAAGACUCUCAAGAUCAUCAUUCAAUUCCUUCAUCAGUGCAUCCAGGUAUCUAGCUUCCCCUGUUGCAUGAGGCCUUGUCAUGGCACAGCCUGGUUGCUGGUUUGUAGAACACCAACUGGAAUAUCAAUUUUGAAAAUUUCUUGUGCUGUGUUGCGGAAAUGCUGAUUGUUAAUCAGAAGUUGCAUGAGGAAAUGUUCAUCCUUGGUUGUGGUUCUGAAUCUACACUGAUGGAAGCUUCUUGCUCUGGUAAAGCCUCAAAAGCUGAUUUUAUUAUGUCAUGAUCCUGGGAGAAAAAUGUAUGAGAUGCUAGCAGGCCAAUAAACAGAAUAUAGUGCAAAAGCUUCAUGGAGUUGUGUCCUGGCCAUAAUGAGGGCAAAAAAGAGAUAUUUUCAUCGCUCAGAGUCAAUGCAGAUCGACUUUGUUGCUUCAAUGAUUGGAGAGAGGAUAACUUACAUUGGUCUCCGCAACUGUCUCCUCUUCUAAUACUUCUUUGUCUUCGCCAGCAUCAACUGAAGAAUUAUCUGACACCAAGUUGGAAAAUUUACAGGCUUCAUCAAUGUUUUCACCAGAAUUUGAGGCAGCUCUUUAUCAGUUCUUGAAUAUCUCUGUCACCUUCUUGGUUUGAUUUGCUGAUAAGCUGGCGAACUGAUUCAGAUAUGUUUCUUCUCUCUUCUUCUUUUUCUGCCUUUUCUCUCAGUUGUACCAAAUUCUUCUUGGCUAUCCCUUCUUUUAAACUGUGGUUUAUAUCGAUGUUCACGAUCUUCCUAUUGAUUUCAAGAUGCCUCUUUGGUGCAUGAUUUGACAAUGGAGUCAUGUUCCGUAUAUAAUUUGUCUUCUCCUUGCUGCUUUUGUCCUUAGUUUCGUCAAUGCCGUUUUCAUUCAGAAUCUUGUUCUCUUUUCUCACUUUUUCAUCUGCUAUUGACGUCUGACCUAUCACCAUCUCUUUCUUAGACUUCGGUUCUUUCUUUCCUUCAACUUUUUUCCCCUCAGCCUUGGGCAUCGGAAGUUCUUCAAGGCCCAUAAGUUUAGCAACAAUAUUUGGCAUUCUUACACUGCUGCUCACCAGGCUUUUAGGAUCCAACUGCUUGGUGUUCUUUGAAGCAGAGAACUUGCCACUACCAGUUGAGAAGUUUCCAGGUUCACCACCAUGGCCUUGUUUGUGUGUAAUGCCUGAAUACAAGGAAUUAGGCAGCGAUCCAGGACCACAACUCAGAGACUGUUUGUGUGUAGCGACUUGCGUUGAUGCAUCUAAUGAACUCUGACUAUAAUUUGUUUUGGCUAUGCUUUUUUUCAUAGAAGAUGAUGGCGUUUUUCUCUGCCCUUGAAUUCUGGUAUCAUCAUUUGCUUUGGUGAAUUUGUAGAAAUGGUUGAUGGACCCAUCAAAAGAAAUUCUGGGCUUGUACAUUAGAGCCUUCCGAUUGUCUUUGACGUCAGAUGUUUCAUCGUCUUCCACACCCUCGAGCAAUUUGAUCUGCCUCCCUUGAGAGCCAACCAUGUAAUCUGAAGCCUCCUGCAGGGUGGCAAGCAUUUUCAAUGACUCUUCCAAAUCUAUGGCCCCUUUCAACAAUUCUCUUCCAAUCUGAAUUGAAUCCUUUCCAAAAUUUGUCCUAUCGGAGAAGGUUUCGAGGAUCUUAUUCAAUUUCUGAACACCUUUUGAUAUUUCACCGACUUGCAAGUUGGAUAAAAAAGGAUAUCGAUCGGCAUGAUGUUUCGUGCUGUAUAACAAGUGUUGAUUUGCAGUUCCUGCAUAAUAUAUAGAUCCACUAUGUGGAAUGAGCUCGUUACCAAAUUUAGCUAUGUAAUGAAGUUUUCCACUAUUACUGAGUGCCAGUGCUAGUGCCAUUGACACAUCGACAGAAUUCUGAAUGCUUGUGGCUCUUCCAACAGGAACAAUCUCCCGUGAAGCAACUUGAGGAGCAGCUGUUUUGUUAUGUUUGGUGCUGAACCAUAUUUCCGUCACUUGUGCGCUGACCGGAUUGUUGCUGCUCUGCAAACUCUCCCAACAAGAACAAAAAUAACAUCACUGAAUGGUGCAUACAGCCGAACAUAUUCCAUUAUUUAAAAAGUUGUGUUUAAGGAACUUGCAUAGUUCUUCUUCUUCUUCAUUACGUCUCCUGUUCCUCUGGACGACCGUCGGGAGCUGACAUGAUACUCUACAAUAUUAUUCAAAGAAGAUGAUUAACAUGUCGAGCAUAUAAUUCUCAAGCCAGGGAUAUAUAGGAUAUCUUUUAAAAAUAUCAUCUUUGUGUUAUUAUGCCGGAAAUGGCACUGAUAUGCAUUUCUUGUUGCAAAGGCUGCUGCAUCUAUGCCCAAAAUAUGGAAUGAAACAGCGAAGAUGCAGAAUUAUUUCAAGCAUAGAACAAGCUCGUCUGAUGAAGGGAUCUUAGGUCCUCCUAAGAGUUCUGUUCAGAAGACCUUGUUUCAGAGUAUCUUGUUCAAACGGAUCAUGGAGGAAGCUGUCUGUCUACCCCAUUCACCGAAUAAGCAGGUGGCUGCGCCGGUUGCUGUCCCGAUGACGAUGCAACAUAUCCCAGCUUCUCCUUCCUCCUCCUGAUGUCAUCCAACAGCUUCUGUGCAAAAUCCGGUCGCUUCGCCAUAGACACACUCUUCUUCUUUCUCCUGUUAACCUUGUCGCCGCACCGUGGAGUUCUCCAUGGCCUUCACCUUGAGAUAUCCGGUGGAGAUCAGCGUGAUGGUUAUUUGUUUCACCGACGCAGAUUCUGCAGCUGCUGCAUGAGUGCGUCCGCGUCUGCCUUGGCUCCAUUCCAAGCAAAGCAAGAGGCCUUCUCCUUGCGGAAGACUUCUUCCCAAGCUUGCACGCAAAGCUUCUUCGGCUGAGGAAGUGGGAGGUCUUGUAAGAGGUGGUGUGUCGUCGCAUGGGCGGUGAAAUGCCGGUGUCGAUGUUACGUCUCCUCCUUUUUUUUGUUUUAGCAGCCAAAAACCCUCAUGGAUUGUGUUGAUCCAUCUAUUGGAGCCAUGACAUCUUUUAGCUUUGAAGGAUUCAUCCCAACCACCGUUUCGACUAAUCUGAUGGACUUUACCUCGAAGAUCUCGAUUCUUUAUCUGUAGUAUGAAUUGUUAAAGUUAUGGCAAUGGGGCCAAACACCAUAGUAGUAGGAUGAGGACACUGAAAAGUACAGUUUACCUGUUCUGAUGAGUUGGAUAGAAUUAGAGAGAUUUCUUUA